CGUAUCACCCAAGACAACUUUGCACAGUUGACGAUUGACGGAGCGGAGCGACGUCAAAGCGUUUUACAACGUUGAGUUGGCUUAGGGAUACGUUCGUUGGGUAGGGGAGCGUUCUGUAAGCCUGCGAAGGUGUGCUGUGAGGCAUGCUGGAGGUAUCAGAAGUGCGAAUGCUGACAUAAGUAACGAUAAAGCGGGUGAAAAGCCCGCUCGCCGGAAGACCAAGGGUUCCUGUCCAACGUUAAUCGGGGCAGGGUGAGUCGACCCCUAAGGCGAGGCCGAAAGGCGUAGUCGAUGGGAAACGGGUUAAUAUUCCCGUACUUGGUGUUACUGCGAAGGGGGGACGGAGAAGGCUAUGUUGGCCGGGCGACGGUUGUCCCGGUUUAAGCGUGUAGGUGUGUGUUCCAGGUAAAUCCGGUUCACUUUAACACUGAGGCGUGAUGACGAGGCACUACGGUGCUGAAGCAACAAAUGCCCUGCUUCCAGGAAAAGCCUCUAAGCAUCAGGUAACACGAAAUCGUACCC
Molecule: ribosomal RNA, 522 nt
Filed under: Salmonella enterica
Lineage: Bacteria; Pseudomonadati; Pseudomonadota; Gammaproteobacteria; Enterobacterales; Enterobacteriaceae
Also listed under: 1 other name
Description: partial 23S ribosomal RNA
Rfam family: Bacterial large subunit ribosomal RNA
Source: RNAcentral